This 1144-nucleotide long non-coding RNA is filed under the name Neogale vison (American mink). Its description in RNAcentral is "Neovison vison (American mink) lncRNA (ENSNVIG00000020381.1)". Lineage: Eukaryota; Metazoa; Chordata; Mammalia; Carnivora; Mustelidae. The record is from RNAcentral.
GUAAAAUUUGUCUGGCCCUUCCCCAUACCACGAUGAGCGGAGCCUUAUAGGGUGACACGGGAUUUGUCGGGCAGAGGGAGGAGCGAGAGGACAGAUCUGGGGCUUCAUCAGUCCCUGCAAAUGGACAUUUCACAUACUCGUUCGGAUUUUAGUUAGAGGAGAGGAGGAGGAAGAGGCUGCGGGAGAGGGCAAGGAGGGAGAACUCCUGCUGGCGGAGCCCUUCCUGCCUCCUGGGGCCCUGGGCAAUUCUGCUCGGCCCCCGACCUGCAAGCCCACUUUACAAAUAAACUCGUCGUAAAGCCACAGUAGACGUCGGUCAUCUACCGCGGCGUCUAAGAGUCAGGAAUGAGGGAGGGGUGGGCAGUUCUGGCUCAGGCUCUCCCAUACUGUUGGGGGCAGAUGCUGACUUGGGCUGUGGUCAUCUCAAAGACUUCCUCAUUCCGGCGUCUGGCGCCUGGGCUGGGGCCAGAGAGGGGCCUGGAGUAGUGGGGACGCGCUGUUUCUGUGCAGUGUCCGUGCGGUCUCUCCAACAGGAUGGCUUCGGGGCCGCUCGCCUCCUUAAGUCCGCUUGGGGCUCCUACGGCGUAUGUCCUGAGCCAGCAGAAGCUGUCAUGCGUCAUCCCUUCUGGCAUAUUCUAGGGAGCAGUCACACAAAGUUACAAAGACUGGCCAGGUUCCACGGAGGAACGUCCGCAUCACAGUGUAGAGUGUUGGUGCCAAGAAGCCACAGCCACGGGGAAAGAAUAUCUGGACCGGUCGUUCUGCCUUCAGCCUGGCUCCCUCAACCCCACCCUCCCCAGAGGAUUGUCCGAGCCCGAAAUCCUCCCGAUCACGCUUCUGUUCUAACACCUUCGGUGGCUCCCCACUGCCCACAAGCUCAGCAGGGUCUGUGGGAGUCAAGCUCUGCCUUCCUUCUGGGCACAUCCACCCGUCCCUCCAGCAGAACUACACCCUGCCCAGAGCACGUCAUCUGGGCCGCUCUGCUGUCUGUCACCCGCCCUCUCCGGUCCCCACUCAGCAGACGGCUCUCGCCUUUCUCUGGCCUCAGAGAGACUCCCUGCUUUCAGGAAGCCUUCCCGACCCUCUUCUCCCAAACCGGCAUCGAUUCCUUCUUCUCCCUCAACCCCCCACCCUUGGCCUGAUC